GCAGGGUGCAGUGGCAUGUGCCCAUAGUCCCAGCUACUCGGGAGGCUGAGGUGGGAGGAUCGCUUGAGCCCAGGAGUUCUGGGCUGUUGUGUGCUAUGCUGAUCGGGUGUCCACACUAAGUUCGGCAUCAAUAUGGUGACCUCCCGGGAGGGGGGACUACCAGGUUGCCUAAGCAGGGGUGAAUCGGCCCAGGUAGGAAAAGGAGCAGGUCAAUAGUGGAAUCACGCCUGUGAAUAGCCACUGCACUCCAGCCUGGGCAAUAUAGCGAGACCCCGUCUCU
This 280-nucleotide signal recognition particle RNA is filed under the name Aotus nancymaae (Ma's night monkey). Its description in RNAcentral is "Metazoan signal recognition particle RNA (ENSANAG00000003525.1)". It matches the Rfam family "Metazoan signal recognition particle RNA". From Rfam's summary of the family: The signal recognition particle (SRP) is a universally conserved ribonucleoprotein. It is involved in the co-translational targeting of proteins to membranes. The eukaryotic SRP consists of a 300-nucleotide 7S RNA and six proteins: SRPs 72, 68, 54, 19, 14, and 9. Lineage: Eukaryota; Metazoa; Chordata; Mammalia; Primates; Aotidae. The record is from RNAcentral.